AUACUGUGAAACUGCGAAUGGCUCAUUAAAUCAGUUAUCGUUUAUUUGAUAGUACCUUACUACAUGGAUACCUGUGGUAAUUCUAGAGCUAAUACAUGCUAAAAACCCCGACUUCAGGAAGGGGUGUAUUUAUUAGAUAAAAAACCAACGCCCUUCGGGGCUCCUUGGUGAAUCAUAAUAACUUAACGAAUCGCAUGGCCUUGCGCCGGCGAUGGUUCAUUCAAAUUUCUGCCCUAUCAACUUUCGAUGGUAGGAUAGUGGCCUACCAUGGUGGCAACGGGUAACGGGGAAUUAGGGUUCGAUUCCGGAGAGGGAGCCUGAGAAACGGCUACCACAUCCAAGGAAGGCAGCAGGCGCGCAAAUUACCCAAUCCCGAUACGGGGAGGUAGUGACAAUAAAUACUGAUACGGGGCUCUUUUGGGUCUCGUAAUUGGAAUGAGAACAAUUUAAAUCCCUUAACGAGGAACAAUUGGAGGGCAAGUCUGGUGCCAGCAGCCGCGGUAAUUCCAGCUCCAAUAGCGUAUAUUAAAGUUGUUGCAGUUAAAAAGCUCGUAGUUGAACCUUGGCUCUGGCUGGCCGGUCCGCCUCACCGCGAGUACUGGUCCGGCUGGAGCUUUCCUUCUGGGGAACCUCAUGGCCUUCACUGGCUGUGGGGGGAACCAGGACUUUUACUGUGAAAAAAUUAGAGUGUUCAAAGCAGGCCUUUGCUCGAAUACAUUAGCAUGGAAUAAUAGAAUAGGACGUGCGGUUCUAUUUUGUUGGUUUCUAGGACCGCCGUAAUGAUUAAUAGGGAUAGUCGGGGGCGUCAGUAUUCAGCUGUCAGAGGUGAAAUUCUUGGAUUUGCUGAAGACUAACUACUGCGAAAGCAUUCGCCAAGGAUGUUUUCAUUAAUCAGGGAACGAAAGUUAGGGGAUCGAAGACGAUCAGAUACCGUCGUAGUCUUAACCAUAAACUAUGCCGACUAGGGAUCGGACGGGAUUCUAUUAUGACCCGUUCGGCACACUUACGAGAAAUCAAAGUUU
This 1022-nucleotide ribosomal RNA is filed under the name Penicillium corylophilum. Its description in RNAcentral is "SSU rRNA". It matches the Rfam family "Eukaryotic small subunit ribosomal RNA", at positions 76 to 1106 of the family's 1831-position model. The record is from RNAcentral. Lineage: Eukaryota; Fungi; Ascomycota; Eurotiomycetes; Eurotiales; Aspergillaceae.